RNAcentral lists this ribosomal RNA (430 nucleotides) under uncultured Actinomycetes bacterium. RNAcentral's name for it is "bacterial SSU rRNA". It matches the Rfam family "Bacterial small subunit ribosomal RNA", at positions 917 to 1348 of the family's 1533-position model. The record is from RNAcentral. Lineage: Bacteria; Bacillati; Actinomycetota; Actinomycetes.
GGGCCCGCACAAGCGGCGGAGCAUGUUGCUUAAUUCGAUGCAACGCGAAGAACCUUACCUAGGCUUGACAUGCACGGAAAUCUCGUAGAGAUACGGGGUGCCUUUGGCGUCGUGCACAGGUGGUGCAUGGUUGUCGUCAGCUCGUGUCGUGAGAUGUUGGGUUAAGUCCCGCAACGAGCGCAACCCUCGUUCUAUGUUGCCAGCACGUGAUGGUGGGGACUCAUAGGAGACUGCCGGGGUCAACUCGGAGGAAGGUGGGGAUGACGUCAAAUCAUCAUGCCCCUUAUGUCUAGGGCUGCAAACAUGCUACAAUGGCCGGUACAAAGGGCUGCGAUACCGCGAGGUGGAGCGAAUCCCAAAAAGCCGGUCUCAGUUCGGAUUGGGGUCUGCAACUCGACCCCAUGAAGUUGGAGUCGCUAGUAAUCGCAGA